GUAGGAUGUUGCCCUGGAGUGAACAAAGGGAAGAGAGGAAAGUUUGACCUAUUUCAGUUUGAGAUUGCAUCUAUUGGAUAAUGCCUUUACCUGCCAUGGAUAACAGAUAUUAGGAAUCCAGCAGAGCAGAUAGAUUCAAGAUCAGCCCGUGAUAUCUUAUGAGUCCAACAAGCAUUUAUCUGUCCAUCAAACCCACAAUUUGACUGCAUCCCGGAUGCUGAUAUGCCUUUGACGUAUUCCUGGCACACCCCAUAAAAAAAAAAGGGGAAAAAACCUACAGCCCUCUGCUCAGGAGUUUUUGCCUUCAAAAACCGGACAGCAAUUGAUAGAGUUUGACGAUCAAGCUGCAGGCAAAAAGACCAUAUGAGCACGAGAAUCAACAAAAGAAACUCUUCACUCAGUACAAGUAUAUAAUGAGAAACAGACAGAGGAAGCAUUGCUUUUAAGGUAUAACAGUAAUUUGGUUAGCAUCUUUUGAUACAAUUCCUCGUGAAUAUUACAGGAUCUUAUUCAUAACAAGCACGAAACUCUUCGGAAUAUUUUGAGCAUCUGACAUAAUGUUGCUAGUUAAUAUCUUUUUUGAUCAAGUAUAGUUUUAUUGAUAAUAGAAAAGCUCCAAUAUACAAGAGGUAUACCAGAAGGAUUUUGACUCUGGUGCCUUGUUAAUAUAGAUCUAACAUGAAUUGGUUUUGCAUAAGGGUGACAGCUUGCUCCAUUACCUAGGUCAGAACUUCCUUACUUUGACUCAGGGCCUACUACGGAAAUACCUCAAAUGUACGAAACCAUCAAGAAGUAUGUCUUAGUUCCAAACUAGAUGGGAUCACUUCUAUAAAUCCGUUAUCAAUUAAAAGAAGUUCAAAUGCCUCAGACAUUGCUGACCAAUUUAACCUGAUGUUUGCUUGAUCCUAUAUCAUCAAUUGGGGUACAGUUGAGUUGUAUAAAUGUUUAGGGUACACCAGCGCUAAACUAAGAUACAGUGUUCAUUUUCUCUUGUAAUUGUUGUCUCUUCUUUAUCUUCCAAUUUUAUGGAUUUACAAUUUUCAGACUCUUCAACGGAUGCAUCACUCAACCUUUUUUAGAUACCCACCAAAUUAAGACUCAUCCCAGCCAUCUAUAACUCUUCGGGAGUUGCUUCCAAAGACAGCAAAAUAUUGUUUAAUCACAUGCAUAAUGUUACCUCCCAUCCCUUAAUCGGUAUUAUUCAUCUCUGUACUACCUGACUUCCUUCAGUUCUAUCAGUAGAUGAAUUUUGUCAGAUCAACUGUUCGAGUCUUCUAUGCUACCAUGUAGAAAAACGUUGUGGAAUUAGGAACUACUCCAUCGAAUGUUUGUGCUGCCUAUCGAAGCAGCAGACUGGCCUAUAGCAUUUUACUGGAUUAAGAGGGUUCUCUGACCCUUUGAGAGCAACAUCAAGUAUCUCCUGGCCUUCUCAGAGCAAAGGAGAGUAGGAUUGCCUAACCUACAAGUAUACGCAAUAUUUGUGAUAUUUAUUUAUCUCAUAUGACAAUCUGAGUAUACAAACUUCCCCUUUCCUCGCACAUGGGAUUGCUGCUACAGUAAUACAGUUGGAGAAGAUGCAACUGAUUAUUCAUAAUCGCCUUAUGAUUAAUCCAAUUGCAGAUUUGCAGGGGUAUCAAGUGGAGUGAUGCAACUGAUUAUUCAUUAUUGCCAGAAGAAUAAGAAUAGUAUUCGCUCCUUUCUCAUACAGAAACUGGAAUUUGUCUCUCUCUAUCACACACACAGAGACACACAUGGACAAGAUAAAGAUAUUCUACAAAAACCUAAAUCUUUGUGUUUUUUCCUAUUGGAAUAGGACAAAAUACCGACAUGCCUCAAUGCUACAUAUGCUAAUGGAUACAUUCUUAAUAAUUAUGUAACGCACCUUAUUCUUAUUCUUACUAUUAUUAGGAUAAGUAUGUAACUGA
Lycium barbarum (goji berry) is the source of this 1925-nucleotide long non-coding RNA. RefSeq lists it as uncharacterized. The record is from RefSeq and is a predicted model, not a curated record. Lineage: Eukaryota; Viridiplantae; Streptophyta; Magnoliopsida; Solanales; Solanaceae. The transcript is spliced from 5 exons.